AGGCCAUGAUGCGGGCAAAGGCUCAUCAUUUAUUUGUACCUUUCCCAUGUCAAAGAGAGAUUAUCCAUCAUCUUAUCUAAAACAAGUGAUCUGAUUUCUUAAACU
Lathyrus oleraceus (garden pea) is the source of this 105-nucleotide small nucleolar RNA. The record is from RefSeq and is a predicted model, not a curated record. NCBI's taxonomy places the organism in Eukaryota, Viridiplantae, Streptophyta, Magnoliopsida, Fabales, Fabaceae.